Molecule: ribosomal RNA, 395 nt
Filed under: uncultured bacterium
Lineage: Bacteria
Description: partial 16S ribosomal RNA
Rfam family: Bacterial small subunit ribosomal RNA
Source: RNAcentral
AUACGUAGGGUGCAAGCGUUAAUCGGAAUUACUGGGCGUAAAGCGUGCGCAGGCGGUUUUGUAAGACAGAGGUGAAAUCCCCGGGCUCAACCUGGGAACUGCCUUUGUGAAUGGAAGGCUAGAGUACGGCAGAGGGGGGUGGAAUUCCGCGGGUAGCAGUGAAAUGCGUAGAUAUGCGGAGGAACACCGAUGGCGAAGGCAAUCCCCUGGGACUGUACUGACGCUCAUGCACGAAAGCGUGGGGAGCAAACAGGAUUAGAUACCCUGGUAGUCCACGCCCUAAACGAUGUCAACUGGUUGUUGGGUCUUCAUUGACUCAGUAACGAAGCUAACGCGUGAAGUUGACCGCCUGGGGAGUACGGCCGCAAGGUUGAAACUCAAAUGAAUUGACGGGG